This is a long non-coding RNA of Capsicum annuum, 230 nucleotides long. RefSeq lists it as uncharacterized. The record is from RefSeq and is a predicted model, not a curated record. The transcript is spliced from 3 exons. NCBI's taxonomy places the organism in Eukaryota, Viridiplantae, Streptophyta, Magnoliopsida, Solanales, Solanaceae.
UCAUCAGAAAUGGCUUCUCCGUCGACCCUCUGCUCCAACUCAUCGAACCAAGAGUUCAGCUUGUCACCUUCCUUGUCAAAGUUGCAAGUACAUUUCGAGAAUCUCUUCUUAGCUGAAUUGAGCAGAAAAGAAGGAACUGCCUUGCUGCCAACAGGUACAUAAAAGGUCUUGCUUAUGGUCUUAAAUCUAAUACUACAAGGGCAACACAAAGGAGAACGGCAGAGUUAGAA